This 503-nucleotide long non-coding RNA is filed under the name Mus spretus (western wild mouse). RNAcentral's name for it is "lncRNA (ENSMSPG00010035434.1)". Lineage: Eukaryota; Metazoa; Chordata; Mammalia; Rodentia; Muridae. The record is from RNAcentral.
UGCUACGGCUCCUGAAAUCCUCCGGUGUGAACUUCUCCCAGGGCUGUUGAUGCUUCAUCUACUCUUCUGGCAGUGGGGGCCUGGACCUUAGUUACCCGGGGAGCUCACACCAGAAGAGGGCAUUGGAUCCCACUAUAGACUGUUGUGAGCCACCUUGUGGUUGCUAGGAAUUGAACUCAGGACCUCUGGAAGAGCAGUUGGUGCUCUUAACUGCUGAGUCAUCUCUCCAGCCCCAGGUGUUCUGCCCAGUUUAUAGAGCAAGGAAUUGAAGCUUGGAGAAGAUUGAUGGACCACUCAAGUUCUCUGGAUGGUCCAGGAUGCAGACUGAGGCUGGCCUAAAACGUUAGUUUUGCUGACUCCCUGUGCUUGGCUAACCUUAGAGCCUCUUACCUUGCCAUAGUCUUUUCUAUGAAGGACAGAGAGCCAAGGAGUGGACCAACAUGCCUGAGUUUACACAGUGGACCUGAGGACCUUCACCUCCCAGUGCAAUGUUCCUGUGUACU